UACGUAGGGGGCUAGCGUUGUCCGGAAUCAUUGGGCGUAAAGCGCGUGUAGGCGGUCCGGUAAGUCCGCUGUGAAAGUCGGGGGCUCAACCCUCAGAUGCCGGUGGAUACUGUCGGGCUUGAGUACGGAAGAGGCGAGUGGAAUUCCUGGUGUAGCGGUGAAAUGCGCAGAUAUCAGGAGGAACACCAAUUGCGAAGGCAGCUCGCUGGGACGUUACUGACGCUGAGACGCGAAAGCGUGGGGAGCAAACAGG
This 253-nucleotide ribosomal RNA is filed under the name uncultured bacterium. RNAcentral's name for it is "partial 16S ribosomal RNA". It matches the Rfam family "Bacterial small subunit ribosomal RNA", at positions 524 to 776 of the family's 1533-position model. The record is from RNAcentral.